GGGUCAGGGUUCAUAGAAUGUUGCUUUACAUACAUUCGACCUAUCUGGACGUCGGGAACCAUUGCUAGAUGGUUACUUCGAUUGGUACAAAAAUUGAUUUCUAUACUAUUGAGUUAGAUUUAAACCUAUAGGAUUACACACAUAAGGGGUUAUAACCUAAUCAGAUGGUUAAUCAAUGAUUGAAAAUUAUUCUAAGGUUAAACGAUUAAUGUGAUUGAGGUUUGACC
RNAcentral lists this long non-coding RNA (227 nucleotides) under Elaeis guineensis (African oil palm). RNAcentral's name for it is "long non-coding RNA (EGUI_LNC064064)". Lineage: Eukaryota; Viridiplantae; Streptophyta; Magnoliopsida; Arecales; Arecaceae. The record is from RNAcentral.